Gasterosteus aculeatus aculeatus (three-spined stickleback) is the source of this 781-nucleotide long non-coding RNA. NCBI's taxonomy places the organism in Eukaryota, Metazoa, Chordata, Actinopteri, Perciformes, Gasterosteidae. The record is from Ensembl.
GGGUAACCAUGGUGAAUAAGGUGCUAGUUGCUAUGGAAACACUAUUCUGAAGGACCCGACUGGUACAGUUGUUUUUAAGUUCACAGAGAUGAGAUUGGUGGAGUGCAAUGCUACGCUAACACUGAUCAGUGGAGAGCUUCCUAUUGUCCGGGACUGGACCCGUCAGAGGACGCGCGGGUGACUGUUCUUCCUCCCUCCUCCCCCGCUCCUCUCGCUCUCCUCCAAGCAGCCGGCGGGGUGAAUGUUGGGCAGUAUUGCUGAGCGCCUCCGCGGUGUGAUUCUUUUACCCCCCGGAGACGACGGUGGACCAACCGAGUACCUCCAAGGCGGGACGGAGGAGUGACGCAGCAGACUUACAGCAGCAACAAACCCCUUGCAGUGUUCUGUGUCAACAGUACAUCGUCGCUUUAAACGCUCUGACCCCCGUCCGGUCCUGCUGCCUUCAUUAGAGUGCUGGAGGCCGAUGGUGAGCGCAGGAUACAGACGGGAGAGAGUAGACAACUCAAACACUGGAGGCGUCUGGAUUCCCGGGAUUGGCUCUGGAACUAUCGGCUACUUUGACUAGUUUCCUACACAGGACCUGCACAGGUCAUCAGCUGCUUCUCCCCCCAAGUUCCCAACAUCAAGAUCAACAACAACAACAACAACGACGACAAAAAAAAAGGCAAUCACUGUUCACUUGUGAUGAAAUCUAUCUGAUUCAGUUCAUUUGAGCCUCGCCUCUCCUGGUGUAUAAAUGCUUUGCGUGGUGUGCACGAUUCAACAAGCUCAAACUAUGGCC